UCGCUGCUUGCGCAGGCAGUCCACCUAGAGUGCCCAGCAUGACCUGAUGGCAACUAAGUGCAGGGGUUGCGCUCGUUGCAGGACUUAACCUAACACCUCACGGCACGAGCUGACGACAGCCAUGCAGCACCUGUACUCCGCGUGUAUUGCUACACUACCCGGCUUUCACCGGUUUACAGAGCUUUUCAAACCCAGGUAAGGUUCUUCGCGUUGCAUCGAAUUAAACCACAUGCUCCACUGCUUGUGCGGGCCCCCGUCAAUUCCUUUGAGUUUCAACCUUGCGAUCGUACUUCCCAGGUGGGAUGCUUAAAGCGUUAGCUGAGACACCGACCCUUGCGGGCCGACAUCGAGCAUCCAUCGUUUAGGGCGUGGACUAC
RNAcentral lists this unclassified non-coding RNA (377 nucleotides) under uncultured Ignavibacteria bacterium. RNAcentral describes it as "contains 16S-23S intergenic spacer region". The record is from RNAcentral. Lineage: Bacteria; Pseudomonadati; Ignavibacteriota; Ignavibacteria.